GACCUCAUGAAGCUGGAAUCGCUAGUAAUCGUGGAUCAGCCACGCCACGGUGAAUACGUUCUCAAGCCUUGUACUC
Molecule: ribosomal RNA, 76 nt
Filed under: Candidatus Adlerbacteria bacterium RIFCSPLOWO2_01_FULL_54_21b
Lineage: Bacteria; Candidatus Adleribacteriota
Description: partial 16S ribosomal RNA
Rfam family: Bacterial small subunit ribosomal RNA
Source: RNAcentral